UGAGGAAUAUUGGUCAAUGGGGGCAACCCUGAACCAGCCAAGUCGCGUGAAGGAUGAAGGUCUUAUGGAUUGUAAACUUCUUUUACACGGGAAUAAAGUGGGGGACGUGUCCCCCUUUGCAUGUACCGUGUGAAUAAGGAUCGGCUAACUCCGUGCCAGCAGCCGCGGUAAUACGGAGGAUCCGAGCGUUAUCCGGAUUUAUUGGGUUUAAAGGGUGCGCAGGCGGGAUGUUAAGUCGGCGGUGAAAUUUUGCAGCUCAACUGUAAAAGUGCCUUCGAUACUGGCCUCCUUGAGUGUGUAUGAAGUAGGCGGAAUUUGUGGUGUAGCGGUGAAAUGCUUAGAUAUCACGAGGAACUCCGAUUGCGCAGGCAGCUUACUAAGCCACAACUGACGCUCAUGCACGAAGGCGUGGGGAUCAAACA
Molecule: ribosomal RNA, 422 nt
Filed under: uncultured bacterium
Lineage: Bacteria
Description: bacterial SSU rRNA
Rfam family: Bacterial small subunit ribosomal RNA
Source: RNAcentral